Molecule: ribosomal RNA, 677 nt
Filed under: Thelidium pluvium
Lineage: Eukaryota; Fungi; Ascomycota; Eurotiomycetes; Verrucariales; Verrucariaceae
Description: eukaryotic LSU rRNA
Rfam family: Eukaryotic large subunit ribosomal RNA
Source: RNAcentral
GUAAUUUGUAGAGGAUGCUUCGGGCAAGGCUGUGGUCUAAUUUGCUUGGAACAGCAGGUCACAGAGGGUGAGAAUCCCGUCUAGGAUCGUAAGCCGCGUCCAUGUGAAGCUCCUUCGACGAGUCGAGUUGUUUGGGAAUGCAGCUCUAAAUGGGUGGUAAAUUUCAUCUAAAGCUAAAUAUUGGCCAGAGACCGAUAGCGCACAAGUAGAGUGAUCGAAAGAUGAAAAGCACUUUGAAAAGAGAGUUAAACAGUAUGUGAAAUUGUUGAAAGGGAAGCGCUUGCAAUCAGACUUGCGUGUGACGGUUCCCCCGGCCUUCGGGCCGGGCUACUCCGUCAUAUCCAGGCCAGCAUCGGUUUGGGUGGUCGGUUAAAGACCCCGGGAAUGUAUCUACCUCCGGGUCGACUUAUAGCCCGGGGUGCAAUGCGGCCCAUCCGGACCGAGGAACGCGCUUCGGCUCGGAUGCUGGCGUAAUGGUUGUAAGCGGCCCGUCUUGAAACACGGACCAAGGAGUCUAACAUCUAUGCGAGUGUUUGGGUGUCAAACCCCUACGCGUAAUGAAAGUGAACGGAGGUAAGAACCCUUAACCGGGCGCAUUAUCGACCGAUCCUGAUGUCUUCGGAUGGAUUUGAGUAAGAGCAUAGCUGUUGGGACCCGAAAGAUGGUGAACUAUGCCU